RNAcentral lists this long non-coding RNA (995 nucleotides) under Brachypodium distachyon (stiff brome). Its description in RNAcentral is "long non-coding RNA (BDIS_LNC003657)". The record is from RNAcentral. Lineage: Eukaryota; Viridiplantae; Streptophyta; Magnoliopsida; Poales; Poaceae.
UGCUGAUAUUACUUUUGCUCAAGGCUCCUGGAUAGGGUUCUCAGAAGUCAUUCCACACAAAUGUGCACUUGACUUCUUAAUCGAUCGACCAUUCGUUCUUCUGAUGCCACCCAAUCCUAAUUAGUUAAUUGAUGUCUGACAUCAAACAACCCCAUCCUAAUUAGUGAAAGAACUUAUGCGUUCUACCCUAUUUUUUUCCUGGGCGUGGUUUCAGGUACGUAUACCAUCUCUGUAGUAUGUGUUUGGCACAUGAGAGUGAUAGAGGAAAGAAAUGGCAAGUUAGAAGCGUUUGAUCAAUGGGUAUAGCCAACAUGGUGUAUAUAUUGGGUGAAACUAGUAGUACGUGUGUAGAGUCGGAUGAGUAGACACAAGAAAUAAAUUAGCUGGGCGUCAUUACAAACGUGGGCUAGCCAAAUUAUUUAUGUGCACAUGUAUUCUCUGAAAAGAAGAACAAAUGGUGUGUUUGGUUUCCUGGGUGGCUUUUGCCUGCAUUGCAUAUAGGAAACAGGCCCCAUCUAGCUGGAGUACUCCGUAUUAGCCAGGCUGAGUGGAUGCAAAAAAUCAAGAGAGACGAGUGUUUGGCACACAUGGUCAGUUUUUGCAUGAACGAUCCAACAAAAACAACUGAAUCUUUCUCCCUCCAUGAAGAAAUCAGAACCUGAAUUCCAUGAAAAAAGAAAAAAAAUUCCAACCCAAAAAUUUAGAUUCCAAUAAUUCUAGAACAGAAAUUCGUAGCCAAAUCGUUUUCAACACCGCUGGAAUAAUGAGGAAAAAUGGAUGAGGUUGGCUGCGUGGAUUUGUAUAAGGAUCUAGAAUUUCACGUCAAUUAUUUUAGCACAGAGGGAGUACAAUAAUUAGUACAGAUGCAUGCCGAAGUUUUUAGACCGAUCACGAGAAGAAAAAAAUGCGAGAAACAAAAAUAGUACAAUACACAUGCAAGUAUUUACACGGGUUCCAAUCUGUGGUUCAGAAAUCGUUUCACGCAUCCGCGCGCC